This 495-nucleotide ribosomal RNA is filed under the name uncultured bacterium. Its description in RNAcentral is "partial 16S ribosomal RNA". It matches the Rfam family "Bacterial small subunit ribosomal RNA", at positions 28 to 505 of the family's 1533-position model. The record is from RNAcentral.
GAUGAACGCUGGCGGCGUGCCUAAUACAUGCAAGUCGAGCGAACGGACGAGAAGCUUGCUUCUCUGAUGUUAGCGGCGGACGGGUGAGUAACACGUGGAUAACCUACCUAUAAGACUGGGAUAACUUCGGGAAACCGUAGCUAAUACCGGAUAAUAUUUUGAACCGCAUGGUUCAAAAGUGAAAGACGGUCUUGCUGUCACUUAUAGAUGGAUCCGCGCUGCAUUAGCUAGUUGGUAAGGUAACGGCUUACCAAGGCAACGAUGCAUAGCCGACCUGAGAGGGUGAUCGGCCACACUGGAACUGAGACACGGUCCAGACUCCUACGGGAGGCAGCAGUAGGGAAUGGUCCGCGAUGGGCGAAAGCCUGACAGAGCAACGCCGCGUGAGUGAUGAAGGUCUUCGGAUCGUAAAACUCUGUUAUUAGGGAAGAACAUAUGUGUAAGUAACUGUGCACAUCUAGACGGUACCUAAUCAGAAAGCCCCGGCUAACUACG